ACAGAACUCAGGGUGUGCUUCUGUACUCCAGGUCCUGCAGUCCUGCAGGUGCUGCCGGCCCCUGGUUCAGAGAUUGAGAUUUGCUUUCAGAAGAACUACAAAUCUGAGCUUCCGAGCCACCACCUGCUGCAGCUGAGAUCCCAGCAAGGAGCAGCAAGCAGGGCAGAAAUCCUUCUCCUGGCAGCAGGGAUGCUGCUCAUCCAGGAACAGCCAUGUCUGGGAGGAAAACGUUACUUAAUAAGGGCAAAUAGUUUCAAAAGCAGCAGCAGCGUACGCAGAAAGUAUUGAUUUUGAUGCCUUCAGAGACUCAGCUCUGAUUAAAAGGAAAUUAAAAGGAAAAGAAAAAUUAACAAAG
Molecule: long non-coding RNA, 355 nt
Organism: Numida meleagris (helmeted guineafowl)
Lineage: Eukaryota; Metazoa; Chordata; Aves; Galliformes; Numididae
Exons: 3
Source: RefSeq, a predicted model, not a curated record